CCUACGGGAGGCAGCAGUGAGGAAUAUUGCUCAAUGGAGGCAACCCUGAUGCAGCGACGCCGCGUGCAUGAAGAAGGAUUUCUGUAUUUUAAACUCUAUCAGCAGGGGAGAAAAUGACGUUACCUGAUUAAGAAUCCCCGGCUAACUACGUGCCAGCAGCCUCGGUAAUACGUAGGGGGCAAGCGUUAUCCGGAUUUACUGGGUGUAAAGGGGGCGUAGGCGGCAGCACAAGUCUGGAGUGAAAUGCCGGGGCUUAACCCCGGAACUGCUUUGGAAACUGUGGAGCUAGAGUGCAGGAGAGGUAAGUGGAAUUCCUAGUGUAGCGGUGAAAUGCGUAGAUAUUAGGAGGAACACCAGUGGCGAAGGCGGCUUACUGGACUGUAACUGACGCUGAGGCUCGAAAGCGUGGGGAGCAAACAGGAUUAGAUACCCUAGUAGUC
RNAcentral lists this ribosomal RNA (440 nucleotides) under uncultured bacterium. RNAcentral describes it as "partial 16S ribosomal RNA". It matches the Rfam family "Bacterial small subunit ribosomal RNA", at positions 338 to 795 of the family's 1533-position model. The record is from RNAcentral.